This is a non-coding RNA of Oryza glumipatula, 208 nucleotides long. NCBI's taxonomy places the organism in Eukaryota, Viridiplantae, Streptophyta, Magnoliopsida, Poales, Poaceae. The record is from Rfam.
AAUAAGUGUAGUUUUUCACUAUUCACAUUUAACAUUUGACCGUUCGUCUUAUUUGAAAAUUUUUUAUGAUUAGUAUUUUUAUUGCUAUUAGAUGUUAAAACAUAAAUAGUACUUUAUGUGUGACUAAAUAUUUUCAAUUUUUUCAUAAAAUUUUUAUUCAAGACGGACAGUUAAACGUUGGGCACGGAUAUCUACGGCUGCACUUAUU